Molecule: ribosomal RNA, 496 nt
Filed under: Limnodynastes peronii
Lineage: Eukaryota; Metazoa; Chordata; Amphibia; Anura; Limnodynastidae
Description: partial 16S ribosomal RNA
Source: RNAcentral
UAGAGAUAGCUGGUGCUCAAGAAACGAAUCUUAGUCCACCCUUAAAUAUUUUUAACUCAUACAAGUAGCCUGAAAAUUUGAGAGUCAUUCAAAUAAGGUGCAGCUUGUUUGAACUAGGACACAACCUCGACAAAAGGGUAAUAACAUAAUUAUGUGAAAAAGUAGGCUUAAAAGCAGCCACCUUAUGAAAAAGCGUCACAGCUUUAACACAACUGAAAUCAAAUUCCUAAACCUUCAUAGAACCCUUCCACCUUACUGAGCAAUUCUAUAUUCUUAUAGAAAUACUUAUGCUAGAACUAGUAACAAGAAGACGACCUUCUCUUUAAUAUAAGUGUAAAUCAAAAUGGACAUUACCACUGAUAAUUAACGCCCUUGACCACCCAGUAAUAACAUCAACAAGAAAAUCUUACUAAUUUAGACGUUAAUCUAACACAGGAAUAUUUCAAGAAAGAUUAAAAGAAAAGGAAGGAACUCGGCAAACAUUAACCUCGCCUGU